Molecule: ribosomal RNA, 460 nt
Filed under: uncultured bacterium
Lineage: Bacteria
Description: partial 16S ribosomal RNA
Rfam family: Bacterial small subunit ribosomal RNA
Source: RNAcentral
CCUACGGGAUGCAGCAGUGAGGAAUAUUGGUCAAUGGGCGCGAGCCUGAACCAGCCAAGUCGCGUGAGGGAUGACUGCCCUACGGGUUGUAAACUUCUUUUAUCAAGGAAUAAAGUGAGGGACGUGUGCCUUUUUGUAUGUACUUUAUGAAUAAGGAUCGGCUAACUCCGUGCCAGCAGCCGCGGUAAUACGGAGGAUCCGAGCGUUAUCCGGAUUUAUUGGGUUUAAAGGGAGCGUAGAUGGGUUGUUAAGUCAGUUGUGAAAGUUUGCGGCUCAACCGGAAAAUUGCAAUUGAUACUGGCAGCCUUGAGUACAGUAGAGGUAGGCGGAAUUCGUGGUGUAGCGGUGAAAUGCUUAGAUAUCACGAAGAACUCCGAUUGCGAAGGCAGCCUACUAGACUGCCACUGACGUUGAUGCUCGAAAGUGUGGGUAUCAAACAGGAUUAGAUACCCGGGUAGUC